This is a ribosomal RNA of Rhinopithecus bieti (black snub-nosed monkey), 119 nucleotides long. The record is from Ensembl. NCBI's taxonomy places the organism in Eukaryota, Metazoa, Chordata, Mammalia, Primates, Cercopithecidae.
AUCUACAACCAUACCACCCUGAAUGCACCCAAUCUCAUCUGAUCUCGGAAGCUAAGUAGGGUAGGACCUGGUUAGUCCUUGGAUGGGAGACCGCCUAGGAAUACUACAUGCUGUAGGCU